GUGUCAAUGUUUAGAAUUUAUAUGGCCUGAAGAAAGAUGAUGACCUAAAAAUCAUUCUCAAAAAGAUUAUGCAGAGACCC
Molecule: small nucleolar RNA, 80 nt
Organism: Bison bison bison
Lineage: Eukaryota; Metazoa; Chordata; Mammalia; Artiodactyla; Bovidae
Gene: SNORD115
Rfam family: Small nucleolar RNA SNORD115
About the family: HBII-52 is a member of the C/D class of snoRNAs, which contain the C (UGAUGA) and D (CUGA) box motifs. HBII-52 is encoded in a tandemly repeated array with another C/D snoRNA, HBII-85, in the Prader-Willi syndrome (PWS) region of chromosome 15.
Source: Ensembl